This 207-nucleotide ribosomal RNA is filed under the name uncultured bacterium. RNAcentral describes it as "partial 16S ribosomal RNA". It matches the Rfam family "Bacterial small subunit ribosomal RNA", at positions 568 to 774 of the family's 1533-position model. The record is from RNAcentral.
CGCGUAGGCGGUUCUGUAAGCGGCGUGUGAAAGCCCGGGGCUCAACCCCGGAACUGCACGCCGAACUGCAGGGCUAGAGGACGAGAGGGGACUGUGGAACUCUAGGUGGAGCGGUGAAAUGCGUAGAUAUCUAGAGGAACGCCGGUGGCGAAAGCGAUAGUCUGGCUCGUCCCUGACGCUGAGGCGCGAAAGCGUGGGUAGCAAACA